CUGAACUGUGUUCAGUUCAUUCCACCAAGAUGGCCGCUCUAGGGGAGCCCUGGCCAGAAGGAGAGUGGGGCCCAGGUGUACCGACCAGGUGUGACACAGGAGAGGCAGCACAGUAAAACACAUGGAUCACAGAUCCCAGACAGAAGAGGGCAGCAGUCCUGGCAGGAACAACAAGAAGAGGACAGAUGAAAAGAACAUGGCUGCCGGUACAAGCCCCACGCCAAGACUAUAAUUCACAGCUCACCUUGCACCAGAGGAGGACCUGAAAGGUGAGAGGAGAUCUGGAAGGUGAAGGGAAGCAACAUACAGAUGUUCCUGGAUUUGUGAUGUGGCUUCAUCUUCCAUAUCCAGCCCUCUGUCUGGCACUGUGGAUCCCCAGAUGAUUAAGGCAUGGCAUCUGCUGUGAGAGACAGACAGACAGACAGACAGACAGAUAGGCAGAGAAGAGGAUAAACAACUGCUCUCCCAGUCCAGGCAAACCUGUGGAGCCAACACAUCCUCUGGACUUGGUUUGCAGGUCUUUUGCAGGGAACCAACACCAUCACUCUUCUCCUAGAAACAAGAGGCUCUAGGCCGGGACAAGGCCUAUCACUUCUGGACAUCUAGACCAGCCACCAAAUGGUCUAGCUGACUCAACCUGGGAAGCUGGGACAAAGAAGGGGAAUCAGGAAAAUCAGAAACUCCUGUGGCCAGGCAAGCUCCAGUGACCAAGGUGUGAUCAUCCCAGCGCUGAAAAGAUCACACCAACCCUGUGUCUCCCACACCAACCGAAGUGUCCCCACUGUGCAAGAAGUUGGGGUGUAAAGACCUCAGAGAGAACUAAGUUGGAGUUCAGAUCCAAACUCCAUUUCUUCUGUAACAUGGCAACUGAGUUUCUGUUCAUUCCUUUGGAGAUUGAGGACAUAACACCUUAUCUCCCUGGGCUGUCGUAUGUUCAUAAUGUUCACAAUAAUGUAUGUGAAAGGCCUGAGACCGUAUCUGUACCUAGCAGAUUCUCAAUAAGUAUUGUUAACUUCUGCCUUCAUUUCUUCAAGUGUGUGACAAAUUGGCCUUUUAUCUGCCCUACCUCUCAGGACAGAGAAGGGUCCAGUGUUUCUCACUGUGGGAACAGAAAAGGGGACACUUUCCUUCUACCACCAG
This 1140-nucleotide long non-coding RNA is filed under the name Heterocephalus glaber (naked mole-rat). RNAcentral's name for it is "lncRNA (ENSHGLG00100034573.1)". Lineage: Eukaryota; Metazoa; Chordata; Mammalia; Rodentia; Bathyergidae. The record is from RNAcentral.